CGGAGGAGAAAUAAAUGGGGGACCAAAUCGAUAUUGAUUGGCGUUGGAGCCUUCCCUGUCCCCGACCUCUGCUGCUCCCUCUCCCAUUUCGCUUCUCUGUGUCAAUCCGAAUCACUUUCGGGAAAACUCUGGCCUGCCAGAGGUUGAUCCGUGAUGGAGCACCGGUUGCUCCGGUGGCCAAAGGCAUUAAUCUUGAGGUGGCGCCGCCGGUUCAGGUUUCUUGUCUUUGACUAUAUGGAAAAUGGAAGGCUGAAGGAUUAUCUCCAUGACCCACUGAAAACACCCUUGAAUUGGAGAACUAGAUUACAGAUUGCCAUCGACAUAGCAGCUGCUUUGGAGUACCUUCAGUAUUUUUGUGAGCCACCUAUAUACAAUGUGUCCAUCAGCUCAAACAAUAUAUUCUUGGAUGAGAACUUUGUUGCCAAGUAGCUACUAUUGAACUUUUUCUUUAGUUAUCUGAUGUGGGCUUUGCCGAUUGUGAAUUAAUCUGCAAAAGUGAAUCAAACAUCACUUCUUAAGAUACUUCUGAGCAAAGAAAUAGGAGACUUGUUUUUCCAGUUUGGGAUGCUACUACUCGAGCUCAUCACUGGGCAAUCAUUGCUUAAUGAAGCCGAAAUUGUCCAUCAGAUCCAAGAAUCUGAAUUUGCCUAUUCAAUCCACAAGAUUGUGGACACUGACCCUGGUGACCAUAGAACUUGGAAGUUUACUUGUUAUGGCAAGAUUGUGCACCAAGGCUGAAAAUGAUACAUCAAUCUCCAUUCGCCAAAUUCUUCGGUUUCUGCAGGGACAAACAGAACAUUCUGCAUUGUAAGUGCGGUAAGAACAAGAUAAUUUGACUUACAAUUUGUAUGCCUCAAAGAAGCUAAAAUUAGCUAAUAAAGUUGAGCAGUUUAGUGA
Molecule: RNA transcript, 897 nt
Organism: Zingiber officinale
Lineage: Eukaryota; Viridiplantae; Streptophyta; Magnoliopsida; Zingiberales; Zingiberaceae
Gene name: probable receptor-like protein kinase At1g49730
Exons: 6
Source: RefSeq, a predicted model, not a curated record